This 516-nucleotide long non-coding RNA is filed under the name Gallus gallus (chicken). Lineage: Eukaryota; Metazoa; Chordata; Aves; Galliformes; Phasianidae. The record is from RNAcentral.
UGGAGGGAUGUCUUCUGCUCGCUGGCCAUCAUCUUGUGCAGCGCUUCGUUCUCUUCUCCUUCGCGCUCCAAAAUCUUGCAUUGGGAACAGCACUCUUUGUUACUUGGGAACUCGGGGGCCUUUGGGAAAUAUUGCUUGAGCUUCUUCCAGGCCUCCUUCGACACCACCCUCCUCUCAUUCUCGGAGAUGCACAGGUCACCAUGUGGGCAAACAAUGUCUUCAUUAAAAUUUAACUCUUCUUCCUCCUCUCUCUUCUCCUCAUUCACUUCAUCUUUGUUUGGUGCGUUUCCAUUCAGUUUCCCAUUGCUGUGCUCUGCGUCUUCGUCUUGCUCAUUUAAUUGCUCCAGAGCCAACUGACGCCAGCUCCGCAAGGAGGCCUUUCCAACCCAAAACCCCUCACUCCUGCAGGGAGACAGCAGCAAAUCACAACCCAAACGGUAAAAGCUUGAGAGAAAAGCUACUCAGACGUUGGUUAACACGGCUAAAAACAUCUCUGACAACACGUGAAGGCGCCAG